This 30-nucleotide non-coding RNA is filed under the name Rattus norvegicus (Norway rat). Lineage: Eukaryota; Metazoa; Chordata; Mammalia; Rodentia; Muridae. The record is from RNAcentral.
UGGGUUGCUAGGACAUAGGCUUGGACCCGU